GACGAACGCUGGCGGCGUGCUUAACACAUGCAAGUCGAACGGAAAGGCCCUGCUUUUGUGGGGUGCUCGAGUGGCGAACGGGUGAGUAACACGUGAGUAACCUGCCCUUGACUUUGGGAUAACUUCAGGAAACUGGGGUUAAUACCGGAUAGGAGCUCCUGCUGCAUGGUGGGGGUUGGAAAGUUUCGGCGGUUGGGGAUGGACUCGCGGCUUAUCAGCUUGUUGGUGGGGUAGUGGCUUACCAAGGCUUUGACGGGUAGCCGGCCUGAGAGGGUGACCGGCCACAUUGGGACUGAGGUACGGCCCAGACUCCUACGGGAGGCAGCAGUGGGGAAUAUUGCCCAAUGGGGGGAAGCCUGAUGCAGCAACGCCGCGUGCGGGAUGACGGCCCUCGGGUUGUAAACCGCUUUCGCCUGUGACGAAGCGUGAGUGACGGUAAUGGGUAAAGAAGCACCGGCUAACUACGUG
This 468-nucleotide ribosomal RNA is filed under the name uncultured bacterium. Its description in RNAcentral is "partial 16S ribosomal RNA". It matches the Rfam family "Bacterial small subunit ribosomal RNA", at positions 28 to 507 of the family's 1533-position model. The record is from RNAcentral.